GAUGAAGAACGUAGCGAAAUGCGAUAAGUAAUGUGAAUUGCAGAAUUCCGUGAAUCUUCGAAUCUUUGAACGCACAUUGCGCCCCCUGGUAUUCCGGGGGGCAUGCCUGUCCGAGCGUCAUUGCAACCUUCAAGCGCGGCUUGUGUGUUGGGUCUCGUCCCCCGUGGACGGGCCCGAAAGGCAGUGGCGGCGUCCCGACAUGGUGCCCGAGCGUAUGGGAAUCCUCUUCCGCUCGAAUCGGCCCAUGCGGCGCUGGUCGUAACCAAAUUUUUUACCGGUUGACCUCGGAUCAGGUAGGGAUACCCGCUGAACUUAAGCAUAUCAAUAAGCGGAGGA
This 336-nucleotide unclassified non-coding RNA is filed under the name soil metagenome. RNAcentral describes it as "partial contains 5.8S ribosomal RNA, internal transcribed spacer 2, and large subunit ribosomal RNA". The stretch from base 1 to 120 matches the Rfam family "5.8S ribosomal RNA", at positions 35 to 154 of the family's 154-position model. The record is from RNAcentral.